GACGAACGCUGGCGGCGUGCUUAACACAUGCCAGUCGAACGGAAAGGCCCUGCUUUUGUGGGGUGCUCGAGUGGCGAACGGGUGAGUAACACGUGAGUAACCUGCCCUUGACUUUGGGAUAACUUCAGGAAACUGGGGCUAAUACCGGCUAGGAGCUCCUGCUGCAUGGUGGGGGUUGGAAAGUUUCGGCGGUUGGGGAUGGACUCGCGGCUUAUCAGCUUGUUGGUGGGGUAGUGGCUUACCAAGGCUUUGACGGGUAGCCGGCCUGAGAGGGUGACCGGGCACAUUGGGACUGAGAGACGGCCCAGACGCCAAUGGGAGGCAGCAGUGGGGAAUAUUGCACAGUGGGCGGAAGCCUGAUGCAGCAGCGCCGCGUGCGGGAUGACGGCCUUCGGGUUGUAAACCGCUUUCGCCUGUGACGAAGCGUGAGUGACGGUAAUGGGUAAAGAAGCACCGGCUAACUACGUG
Molecule: ribosomal RNA, 468 nt
Filed under: uncultured bacterium
Lineage: Bacteria
Description: partial 16S ribosomal RNA
Rfam family: Bacterial small subunit ribosomal RNA
Source: RNAcentral